This 253-nucleotide ribosomal RNA is filed under the name uncultured bacterium. RNAcentral describes it as "partial 16S ribosomal RNA". It matches the Rfam family "Bacterial small subunit ribosomal RNA", at positions 524 to 776 of the family's 1533-position model. The record is from RNAcentral.
GACGAACCGUGCGAACGUUGUUCGGAAUCACUGGGCUUAAAGGGCGCGUAGGCGGCUUGCCAAGUCAGGGGUGAAAUCUUUCGGCUUAACCGGAAAACAGCCUCUGAUACUGGCGAACUAGAGGGAGGUAGGGGUGCGUGGAACUUCUGGUGGAGCGGUGAAAUGCGUAGAUAUCAGAAGGAACGCCGGUGGCGAAAGCGACGCACUGGAUCUCUACUGACGCUGAGGCGCGAAAGCCAGGGGAGCGAACGGG